This 428-nucleotide ribosomal RNA is filed under the name uncultured prokaryote. RNAcentral describes it as "bacterial SSU rRNA". It matches the Rfam family "Bacterial small subunit ribosomal RNA", at positions 355 to 774 of the family's 1533-position model. The record is from RNAcentral.
UAGGGAAUCUUCCGCAAUGGACGAAAGUCUGACGGAGCAACGCCGCGUGAGUGAUGAAGGUUUUCGGAUCGUAAAGCUCUGUUGUUAGGGAAGAACAAGUACCGUUCGAACAGGGCGGUACCUUGACGGUACCUAACCAGAAAGCCACGGCUAACUACGUGCCAGCAGCCGCGGUAAUACGUAGGUGGCAAGUGUUGUCCGGAAUUAUUGGGCGUAAAGGGCUCGCGGGCGGUUUCUUAAGUCUGAUGUGAAAGCCCCCGGCUCAACCGGGGAGGGUUAUUGGAAACUGGGGAACUUGAGUGCAGAAGAGGAGAGUGGAAUUCCACGUGUAGCGGUGAAAUGCGUAGAGAUGUGGAGGAACACCAGUGGCGAAGGCAGUCACUUGGUCCAUUACUGACGCUAAAGCACGAAAGCGUGGGUAGCAAACA